CUAGUUCUUGUACCCAAGUUAAACCCAAAUUCUCUUACCUAGCCCAAAUAUACUUGAACCCAUUAGCCCAAACCCAUACCCUUCAAAUUAAAACCUAGACUUAGACCUAUAUAAAGAGAAGAUUAGUCUACACAUUAUCAAAUUUCACCCUACCCUGAAAAAGAAAAAUAGAGAGCGGCGCAUCUACAGGGGGUCUUCUUCUUCAUCUUGAUCUCUAAAAAGGGGCUUACACCCUUCCCCAAUACAAAUACAUCGUCGUUUCCUUCCAAAGCACACAUAGAUAACGAAGCUCCCUCUUAUCAACAUCUUCGAUUACAUAAUCUCACCCAUCUCUCACCUUCACACACAUCCCUAUGAAGAUAAAAAAAAUCACAAAGUUAUGAUAAACAAAAGAAAAAUCGGAAGUUCUAAAGGAAAACUUUAUUUUAAAACUCAACUUCUUCUUUUCUGGUUUGGUACAAGCUGUGGAAGCCGAGUUCAAAGCUGUUGCCUGCUGAUUUCGAAUCUGUUGUAGCUGAGCUUCAUCCCGAAAGUUUUUCUGGUCCUUGUCUGAUUUUUUGAAGUUUGCUUCAUUAGCUGCUACUCAAAAAUUAAGUCAACAAUUGUAGAAGCUAUAUCUGGUAUUAAGGGUGUAUUUUGUCCCAGGAUCGGGGCCUAAAACGAGCCUCGCGGGCUGGGCUUUGCGGUUCCGGAUUUCGUGAGCCUGAGCUCUAGCGAUCCCGGGCCUGGCGGUCCCGAUCUUCGUGGGCUUAAUGGGUGAGUCCAGCGCGUGACGAGCCUAAGUCCAUGUGAUCUUAGGCUUAACGAGCCGGGCCUGGCGGGCCUGGCAGGCCUGACAAGCUUUUUUUGUAAUUUUUUAAGGCAAUAUCUUGCAUAGUAGUUAUUAGUAUAGUAUAGAAUAUAUUUAUAUAGUAUACUAGUUAUUAGUAUAGUAUAACCGGCCUGUGACGGGUCUAAGCCCACAGUGGUCCUGGGCUUGGCGGGCCUGACAGGUUUUUUUAAGGCAAUAUCUUUUAUCGUAGUUAUUAGUAUAGUGUAGAAUAUAUUUUAUAUGGUGUACUAAGUUAUUAGUAUAGUAUAUAUGAUAUAUAUUUCAUUGUAUAUUGUGUUGUAGUAAUUAGUAUAUAUUGUAUGUUAUGUAUAUGUAUAUUCCCUUAUAUGAAUCACUUAUAUAUUUUCUUGUAUGUUAUGUAUAUAUAUUCUCUU
Molecule: long non-coding RNA, 1206 nt
Filed under: Nicotiana benthamiana
Lineage: Eukaryota; Viridiplantae; Streptophyta; Magnoliopsida; Solanales; Solanaceae
Description: long non-coding RNA (NBEN_LNC009044)
Source: RNAcentral